GACGAACGCUGGCGGCGCGCCUAACACAUGCAAGUCGAACGAACGAGAGAGAGCUUGGUUUCUUGAGCGAGUGGCGAACGGGUGAGUAACGCGUGAGGAACCUGCCCCUAAGAGGGGGAUAACAGUUGGAAACGACUGCUAAUACCGCAUAAGACCACGUGGCCCCAUGGGACAGAGGGAAAAAGAGCAGUCUGCUGUGAGAUGGCAUCGCGUCCGAUUAGCUGGUUGGUGAGGUAACGGCCCAAGAAGGCGACGGUCGCUAGCCGGAAUGGGAGGCUGAGCCGCGACGUUUGGGCUAGGCCACAGCCCAGAAUCUUACGGAAGGGAGGAGAGGCUGACAUUGCAACAUGGCGUAAGCGGUGAUGCAGCGCCGAGGGGUAGAGGGAGAAGGUCUUCGGAAUCUGAACUCCUAUUGUUGGGGGAGAUAGUGACGGUACCCAAUAAGGAAGCGACGGCUAACUACGUG
This 466-nucleotide ribosomal RNA is filed under the name uncultured bacterium. RNAcentral describes it as "partial 16S ribosomal RNA". It matches the Rfam family "Bacterial small subunit ribosomal RNA", at positions 28 to 507 of the family's 1533-position model. The record is from RNAcentral.